This 728-nucleotide ribosomal RNA is filed under the name Wenyingozyma ramenticola. Its description in RNAcentral is "LSU rRNA". It matches the Rfam family "Eukaryotic large subunit ribosomal RNA", at positions 1 to 710 of the family's 3401-position model. Lineage: Eukaryota; Fungi; Ascomycota; Pichiomycetes; Pichiales; Pichiaceae. The record is from RNAcentral.
AUGAAGUAUGGCUCUGCCUAACAAACUUAAUCAUAAAGUUUGACCUCAAAUCAGGUAGGAUUACCCGCUGAACUUAAGCAUAUCAAUAAGCGGAGGAAAAGAAACCAACAGGGAUUGCCUUAGUAGUGGCGAAUGAAGCGGCAAGAGCUCAAAUUUGAAAUCUGGUAUCUUCGAUGCCCGAGUUGUAAUUUGAAGAAAGCAAUCUUGGAAUUGGUCCUUGUCUAUGUUCCUUGGAACAGGACGUCACAGAGGGUGAGAAUCCCGUGCGACAAGGAAUUCUUUUCUAUAUAAGAUGUUUUCGAAGAGUCGAGUUGUUUGGGAAUGCAGCUCUAAGUGGGUGGUAAAUUCCAUCUAAAGCUAAAUAUUGGCGAGAGACCGAUAGCGAACAAGUACUGUGAAGGAAAGAUGAAAAGAACUUUGAAAAGAGAGUGAAAAAGUACGUGAAAUUGUUGAAAGGGAAGGGUAUUCGAUCAGACUGGUAUUUAGCUAUCAUUGCUCCUUGUGGGUGGUGCUCUAGCCUUUUACUGGGCCAACAUCAGUUUUGGUGGUAAGAUAAUCGCAGUUGAAUGUGGCUCUUUCGGGAGUGUUAUAGCUUCUGUUGAUGUUACCUAUCGGGACUGAGGUCUGCGGCUUUGCCUAGGAUGUUGGCGUAAUGAUCCAAUACCGCCCGUCUUGAAACAUGGACCAAGGAGUCUAACGUCUAUGCGAGUGUUUGGGUGUAAAACCCG